RNAcentral lists this ribosomal RNA (969 nucleotides) under Leuconostoc mesenteroides subsp. mesenteroides. Its description in RNAcentral is "bacterial SSU rRNA". It matches the Rfam family "Bacterial small subunit ribosomal RNA", at positions 544 to 1533 of the family's 1533-position model. Lineage: Bacteria; Bacillati; Bacillota; Bacilli; Lactobacillales; Lactobacillaceae. The record is from RNAcentral.
UUCGGAUUUAUUGGGCGUAAGCGAGCGCAGACGGUUUAUUAAGUCUGAUGUGAAAGCCCGGAGCUCAACUCCGGAAUGGCAUUGGAAACUGGUUAACUUGAGUGCAGUAGAGGUAAGUGGAACUCCAUGUGUAGCGGUGGAAUGCGUAGAUAUAUGGAAGAACACCAGUGGCGAAGGCGGCUUACUGGACUGCAACUGACGUUGAGGCUCGAAAGUGUGGGUAGCAAACAGGAUUAGAUACCCUGGUAGUCCACACCGUAAACGAUGAACACUAGGUGUUAGGAGGUUUCCGCCUCUUAGUGCCGAAGCUAACGCAUUAAGUGUUCCGCCUGGGGAGUACGACCGCAAGGUUGAAACUCAAAGGAAUUGACGGGGACCCGCACAAGCGGUGGAGCAUGUGGUUUAAUUCGAAGCAACGCGAAGAACCUUACCAGGUCUUGACAUCCUUUGAAGCUUUUAGAGAUAGAAGUGUUCUCUUCGGAGACAAAGUGACAGGUGGUGCAUGGUCGUCGUCAGCUCGUGUCGUGAGAUGUUGGGUUAAGUCCCGCAACGAGCGCAACCCUUAUUGUUAGUUGCCAGCAUUCAGAUGGGCACUCUAGCGAGACUGCCGGUGACAAACCGGAGGAAGGCGGGGACGACGUCAGAUCAUCAUGCCCCUUAUGACCUGGGCUACACACGUGCUACAAUGGCGUAUACAACGAGUUGCCAACCCGCGAGGGUGAGCUAAUCUCUUAAAGUACGUCUCAGUUCGGAUUGUAGUCUGCAACUCGACUACAUGAAGUCGGAAUCGCUAGUAAUCGCGGAUCAGCACGCCGCGGUGAAUACGUUCCCGGGUCUUGUACACACCGCCCGUCACACCAUGGGAGUUUGUAAUGCCCAAAGCCGGUGGCCUAACCUUUUAGGAAGGAGCCGUCUAAGCAGGACAGAUGACUGGGGUGAAGUCGAAGGAGUAGAGUAUCNCACNNANUA